Microcebus murinus (gray mouse lemur) is the source of this 969-nucleotide non-coding RNA. NCBI's taxonomy places the organism in Eukaryota, Metazoa, Chordata, Mammalia, Primates, Cheirogaleidae. The record is from RefSeq and is a predicted model, not a curated record.
CUGGUCUCCAAGGAUUUAGAUCCUGCUGAUGCCUUUCCCCUUCCAAUUCUGCUCUGGAACUCUUCCAAUGGAGUCUCCUAAUCCAGGUCUGUGAGGAGGAAGCUCUGCGGCUAGUGUGUGCUCCGGUGAAGCCUUUGGAAAUUAGAAGAAAGGCGAGUGGCAUCAGGAAGCAUGAUUUUUUGUUUCAUCAAAAAUUACAAGAAGAGUGAGAAAGAAAUAUACAUCUAGACAUAUCAAACUUAAACUGGAAAACACUAAUGAUAAAGAAAAUAUUUUAAACUUGUAAAGAGAGUAAGACAAAAAUAUUUCUUAAAAAGAAACAAAAAAUUGACAGAAUUGUCAACAGCAAGUAUGGAAGCAAAUGGAACAAGAUAUAAAAAACAUUGAGAAAAAGAACUGUCAGCCAAGAAAUGUAACCUCAGUUAAAUAUGUGGAGCAAAAUAAAGACAUUUUGCAGACAAACAAAAAAUUUAUAAUCAUUAAAGAUAGUUCUAAAAAUGUACGUCAGGAAGAUGGAAAAUCAUCACAGUAGAAAAGUCUGAGAUACUAGAAGGAAUACUGAUUUUUCAAAAUGGUGAAUUUGUGGUUAAAUAAUAAACAACACAUUGCAUAAUAGGAUAAAAAGGAUGUUUGUAUUGUGGAGUAUUUAUUUUAAUGAAUAAUAUACUAAAUUUGACAUUCUGAUUCAAGUAAUUCUAAAUUAUUAGAUUGAAGGGAAGGGGAAGAAUGUCCAUAGACAUCAAAUUCCCUCUUACAUAUUUUUAUCUUAAAUAUGAAUGACAUAAUUUUAGGGUAAUUACUAAGUUAAUAGAAAUCAAUCUUAUAACAAAUAGAAAGAUAAAAGUUAUAUCCAGGAAACUUUAAAAACAAACAAACAAAAGAACUAAUGAAAACAAUAGAAAGAAACAUGAAGCAGAAAGAGAGCAAUUGGGAGAAAAGCAUGAGAGAUAAAAUGUUUAAUAGAGUAAG